This is a non-coding RNA of Phoenix dactylifera (date palm), 2253 nucleotides long. The record is from RefSeq and is a predicted model, not a curated record. Lineage: Eukaryota; Viridiplantae; Streptophyta; Magnoliopsida; Arecales; Arecaceae.
AAUAGUUUCUAACCCUCCACCACAGCUCGCAUCACUACAUCACAUACCGCUCCGUGUGUUUUCGUGCGCUCCUGUCCUCUGAAGUCGGCGAUGGUUUCACAAGCGGCGGCGAUGGCCGUCUGGUAAUUUACUCACCGCGACGGCGAUCCAUCCGUAAUUUCGCCCACCCCCAGCCCUGCCCGGCUCUUCUUGAAUGCUCCACAGUAUCCCUGUUUUCCCGCCCGCGUCACAAUUCAGUUCCCCCUCCAGUUUCUGUCUUCCCCCUCUCUGCUCUUUCUCACCAUCCCCCUGCAAAAAGAGAAAGAAGGAAAGAAAGAAAGCUCCCUAUCCCCUCUCUCUCCCUCGAUGCCCUAACCCCUGUCUUCUCUCUCGGCCAUGCCGGAUCUCAGCAACCUCCUCCUCCCUCCCCCUUCCCCUCCCUUGUCCUCAGCCCCCUCCUCUUCUUCUGCUCUUCUUCCCGUCCCCCAGCCCUGCGAUCCGUCCUGCUCCUCCCGCCAAGAAACCCUAAAUGGGGACGCCCUGGACUGCCGGUGGAGCCGCCGUCUCAGGUUCCCCGUCUCCACGCGCGGGACGUGCUCGGUGCUGAAGAGGGAGCGGAAGGGGGGCAAGAAGGCCAGCGGCGGGAAGUUGCUUGCGGAGCACGUCAGGGUUUGGGUGGAGAAGAAGGUGGCGUCUGGGGUGCCCGAGAGGGAUUGCGUCUUGCCUUUCCUCACCCAUGCCCCGAAAUUGGUUGGUUGUCAGAUGUGCAAAAGAUGUAUCCACCCUGGUGGAGAAGUGCAGUGCUCAGUUAAAGGUUGUCGACAAGCUUUCCAUCGGACAUGUGCUAAGCAAAAAAUUGGAGUCCCUAACCAUAAACCUUUCAAGUGCUCUCAGCAUGCUUGUUUCAUUUGCAAGCAGAAAUUUUACUGGCGUUGCAUACGAUGUUCAAUAGCAUUACAUCCGAAGUGUGCUCCAUGGCCUGAAGAUAUCAUCUAUCUAACAGAUCGACCAGGGCCAUUGGUUUGUUGGAGGCAUCCUUCUGAUUGGCGACUUGAGAAGGAGCAUGCAGAUCCCACGAGUGAUGUAGAGGAAGUCUUUAGCCGUCUGCCACUUCCAUAUGUUGAUGAAGAGUUUAAGAUUGGUUCCAUUGUGAAAGAUGUUAUGGAGAACAAAACUGAGCCAUCUCCUUACAUACAUAUCAGGCGUAAUAUUUAUUUAGUCAAGAAGAAGCGUGAUGGUGCAGAAACUGGUGUUGGGUGCACAAUUUGCAAUCCUGAUUCCACAUGCAAGGAAAAUUGUGAAUGCAGGGGUCUCUCAGUCAGCUGUUCCAAGGCCUGCCAUUGCUCAGAUAUGUGCACAAACAGACCCUUCCGCAAAGAGAAAAAGAUAAAAAUUGUUAAGACAAAACAUUGUGGAUGGGGAGUAGUGGCAUUAGAGUCAAUGGAAAAGGGAGAUUUUGUCAUCGAAUAUAUUGGAGAAGUUAUUGAUGAUGCUUUGUGUGAGCAAAGGCUUUGGGACAUGAAACACCGAGGCGAUCGAAAUUUUUACAUGUGUGAGAUUCGUAAAGAUUUCACGAUUGAUGCAACUUUUAAAGGAAAUGCUUCUCGUUUUUUAAACCACAGUUGUGAUCCCAACUGCAAACUAGAGAAGUGGCAAGUUGAUGGGGAGACACGUGUUGGUGUGUUUGCUUCUUGUUCCAUAGAAGUUGGGGAGCCUCUGACAUAUGAUUACAGAUUCGUGCACUUUGGGCCCAUGGUCACGUGUCACUGUGGAGCUUUCAACUGCCAAGGUUAUCUGGGGAGUAAGAGAAAGACAAACCAGGUGGCCUCCAACUGGGGAUGCAAAAGGAAGAGAUCUGCUAUGCUAACCUCUUUCAUCAAGUAAAUAAACAUUUAUUUGAAGGUGCAAUUUUGUCAUUUAUUUAUUUAUUUAAUGCAAAGUGCAGGCAAUGGAAGGGAAACACUCUGUUUCCCAUUUUGUCUUGUAUUAUUAGGCAGAUACGACGGUCAUUAACAUUAGCUUCAUUUAAUAUGCUCAUUGCCACGUCUUCCCAGGUCCUGGCGGUGUUGUAUUUUGUUUUGGGAAGUGCAAAUUUCCUGUUGAAAUUUCAAUUCUUCAGUGUAUAGUUGUAUUCAAGCUGAUUUAUAUACCAUUCAGAGUGAGCUCACAAAGAGAAUAUGAUAUGAGCAUAUACCUGUAUUGAGGAUGUUUGGAAGUAAUUGUAAAGUGUAGAACAUCCAGUCUCAUAGAAAUUGAAUAUUUUUGUGAUUUUUA